UUUUGGGAAGAAAAAAAGACUCGACCAAAAAGCUUUUACCGCAGAAUGGAUAAAGCUAAAGCUACUAUUUGGUCGAAUAGCAUAUAGGAUGCCCUGUGUGCCAAAUACAUGACCAAAUCCGUCAAUAAAUCACAGGAAGUAACAAAAAUCUAAGCACAAAGCUUAUUGCCCAUGGUCUAAACAAUGCAAAUUACAGGCAACUGACCACCUUUACCGCCUGUCUGCUUCAGUUUGAUCCCCUGUUGAGCUUUCUUUCUUAAUCGGCCCUAG
Molecule: unclassified non-coding RNA, 270 nt
Filed under: Hevea brasiliensis (rubber tree)
Lineage: Eukaryota; Viridiplantae; Streptophyta; Magnoliopsida; Malpighiales; Euphorbiaceae
Source: RNAcentral